Molecule: long non-coding RNA, 1224 nt
Organism: Acyrthosiphon pisum (pea aphid)
Lineage: Eukaryota; Metazoa; Arthropoda; Insecta; Hemiptera; Aphididae
Exons: 4
Source: RefSeq, a predicted model, not a curated record
UUGAUAGUAAAUAAUAAAUAAAGGAAGGUAAUUCAAUAAUAAUUAUUAUUAAUUUAUGAUGGCUACCAAAUGUUUUAUGAAAAAAAAAGUAAACGUUAAUAGAGUAUAUUAUUGUCAAAUGAUUGUGAUCGAAAGUAUUAAGGUAUUUGAUAUAGACUGAUUCCUAUGGACGUAAAAAAACCAACGACGAGGAUACGAGAUUGCUUUUCUAUACAAUAAUAAUACAGAAUGUCAGAAUCUGAGUAUAGAAAGUUUUUGCCCAAUUAAAUACUGUUUUUGAUGGCUAAAAAUAACUGAGCAACGAUAAAGUAAAUAAUAUUUAUAUAAUAUGUAGGUAAUGUAUGUUUUUAGGGGACGUAAUGCUAACAUAGGGGAUGUAAUGCUAACGCAGUCUCCUCUCCGGUUCUCAAUACCACGAGGGAAAAAAAAAAGGCAUUGGUUCCAUUGUUUUGAAGUACCUAUAAGAACACAGAAGUCAUCUUCGAAUAAGAAAAAUCAAUGGUUAUUCACCUACCAUCAUAAAUUCAUACCAUACAAAAAUUGAAGCAGUUAAAUGUGAAGUUAAGGAACAGAUCAAAAUACAGAAUAUUAUUCAAGGAUUUCCAUUUCUAAACUAUGGAGAAUCAGUAGCACUCAGAGUUAACUAAAUAUUAUAAAUACUGAUUAUUAUCAUUAUUAUUCUAAAUGUAUUAAUGUUUGUAUGUAUUGUCAAUUUAUGUGACACAUAAAUUGACUAUGCAUACGGGCAUAAAAAUGUUCAUUAAAUUGUAAAUUGUAUAUAACUCUAGACCUAAGCUAACUAAGGUCUAUGUCACAACCAGUGGCGGACUGAACUUUAAUUUUAAAUGAUGCAUUUUCAUAAUUAAGUACUUACCACCACCACCACCACCCUAUUUUUACUUAUAACAAAGUUAUGAUGUAAAUAAAAUGUAAUCAAAAGAGCCAAGAGGUCAGGCUGUAGCAUGUAAUUCUGCGCCACAGUCAUGGAGUGGCACCACCCCCUUUGAAAAGUUGUCGCAACUGCAUCAAAAUUGAGCGCUUCAGCUCGCAACUGGUCACAACCCAAGUUUAUUUUUUAUUCCAAAUUAUGGUAAAAGUUUAUUUUUCUAAAGAGAUUUUAUAAUCGUAAAAACUCCAUAGUCUUGGAUUUGUGUUUUAUUCCACAGUGUAUUUAUACCUAAAAUGUUUUUAUAUUAAAGAAAUAAUUUAUGAUUAUUAUUUUAU